AUGGGGCAUUAAGAUUUGAUACUCACGUGAAUAUUAAAUCUAAAUAUAUGUAUAGAGUUUAGCAUCUAACAAAUGAUUAUCCUAAAUCUAGAUUCGAAGAGUAUUUCUCAAUAACAAUUCAAAUCGAUAGAUAAAACAACUUAACAAGGAUAACAUCGAUAUAGAUUCGUGAAUAGAUUAUACAUAAUGCCAUGAUUAAUAAAAAUACAUACUAUCAAAGUGAUCUUACAUCCAAUCCCAACAAGAAAGGGAUUUAGCUACACAUAGUAUCUUAAUAUAAAGAGAAAAAUGAAGAAAAACAAGCAUCCACCGUGAUUUCCCAAUGAUAGAAGCAAAUCCAACUCCGGAUCUUCAAGAAGCAUCCUAACUUGUUGUUUUCCAGUCUCACUCUCUCCAAAAAUGUCUUCUCUUGGCUAUUCCAAGAGAGCAAAUGAAAAAAUAUCCGAAAAACAAGAGAGAGGAGAUCAAAAAUAUGAUUUGGACAUAUUUAUACAAAGUUAAAAAUUACCUGUCUCGCCCGACGAACAGGGUCUCUAAUUUUUUAUUUAACGACAUGAACAUCGUGACAUAAAUUAGUGGCGUCUUUUUCCCAUGACAAUUUGUUACCACGAAUGCUCCUGCGACGUGUUUCAGUUAGAUCGUUAAUUUCCUUUUAUAACGUGAUAUUUAGGUUUAUGGUGUAUAUUUCAAGUGACAAAUAUUUUUU
Molecule: long non-coding RNA, 706 nt
Filed under: Lathyrus oleraceus (garden pea)
Lineage: Eukaryota; Viridiplantae; Streptophyta; Magnoliopsida; Fabales; Fabaceae
Description: Pisum sativum (pea) long non-coding RNA (PSAT_LNC004228)
Source: RNAcentral